CAAGCGUUGUUCGGAAUUACUGGGCGUAAAGGGCGCGUAGGCGGCCUGCUAAGUCGGACGUGAAAUCCCUCGGCUCAACCGAGGAACUGCGUCCGAUACUGGCGGGCUCGAAUCCGGGAGAGGGAUGUGGAAUUCCAGGUGUAGCGGUGAAAUGCGUAGAUAUCAAGAGGAACACCAGUGGCGAAGGCGAGUCCCUGGACAACACCUGACACUGAGGCACGAAAGCCGGGGGAGCAAACAGG
RNAcentral lists this ribosomal RNA (242 nucleotides) under uncultured bacterium. RNAcentral describes it as "partial 16S ribosomal RNA". It matches the Rfam family "Bacterial small subunit ribosomal RNA", at positions 535 to 776 of the family's 1533-position model. The record is from RNAcentral.